Molecule: long non-coding RNA, 3470 nt
Organism: Tachysurus fulvidraco (yellow catfish)
Lineage: Eukaryota; Metazoa; Chordata; Actinopteri; Siluriformes; Bagridae
Exons: 3
Source: RefSeq, a predicted model, not a curated record
GUAAGUUGGUACGCGUCAAAAUAACAUCCACAUGCAUGGCAGGAGCCAAAAGUUUCCCAGCAGAACAUCGCCCGAAGCAUCGCGCCGCCUCCGCCGCCUUCCCACGGUGCAUCCUGGUGCCAUGCGUUCCCUUUGACUUCGUUUAACAUUCGGAAAACAGCGUACACAUUUUUUCUUACUACACACAUUAUAGCGGCUUCAAACUAGCAUUAAUACUCGUAGCUACUACUGAGAUUUGGUCCAUGUACAUUAGUUAACAAUGAAAAUGACUACAAGCACAAGAGAGCGCACUGACUCGCAGCCGACUCCAAAAAAAUAUGACCCGAGAUGAAUGGCAAUAAAUAAUGAAAAGCAUAAAUCUAGUGGACUUUUCUUCUCCCAUCAUGAGCUACAAUGAGCAGAGGAUCUGAUGAUGCACAGGGAGUCUUUCCCUCUGCUCUCUGAGCCAUGACUAAUUUGAUGAGAUAUUUUCAGCUUAGCAACACUGCUUUAUAUACAGUACUGAUCUAUAGGCUUGUGUAAGUUUAUGAUACCCAGUGAGGUUUAUUCGGAUCACGGAGCAUCGGCAAGCCUGACGCUACCACAGUGGCUUAUUGCUCUCGAUCUGGAUUGAUAUGCACAGGCAUUUAAGUCAUUAUAUCAGAUUAUAAUAUAUAAUAAAUCGACGCUUUCGGGAAGCCCCGCCACCUUUCCCCCUCGACUCACACGGGCCCGCCCGCUUUCCGUCCGGGAUACGGUUUUAUCCUGAAAAAUGUCUGUUAACCGUAAAGUAUAUAAUUAACACCAUUCAUUAAUGCUGAUGAAAACAACCUCCAUUCGGUUUUCAGCUGAAAGAGGGAAAAAAAAGAAUUUGAUCUAAAAAAAAAAUAAUAAUAAAUUAAACAAUGAAGUGUAAAAUUUCACACAUUUUUUUAGAUCAUGUUAAUGCUGAUGAUAAUUUAAAAACUAGCUUAAAAAUAUCUACCGAUUUUAUUUAUUUAUUUAUUUAUGUUUGAUUGAUUGUUUGUUUAUUUCCUCCCCAUUUGUGAUCCGAGGCAGUUCUCAGCCGCACAGCUGAUUUUAUUAUUACCCCUAAAAGCAGAAAUGACGGAAACGCUCUUUUUCCUGUUGGUUCGGGAUGAUUUCGAUGACGCACUAUAAAUAUAACUGCUGUAGCUUAAGAUUUUGGAGAGAACUUCUAGCGUUUGUGUUUUGUAUGACGAGUGACCUUGCGUUAGAUAACGUGGUGACCUGAAGCGAGCACGAGGUCUGCCUCGAGAAGGUCCGAAGGAAAAUAAAGAGAGAAAAAAAAAGAGAAAAAAGAAAGUGGUCAAGAGAAGAGUGUCUGAGGGAGCGGGAUUAAAGGACAGCUGUGCACACACCUCUAGACUGAACAAGAUGUCCUAGAGUACACACACACACACACACACACACACACACACGUCCCAUCAUCAUAAUAUCAGGUUACAUUCAGCUAUUUAAAGACGGACUGCGAAUCAGAGAUGCGAAUCACUUUUGUUCUCUAAAUGAAAGGGACAUGAACGAUUUAUUAGCACUAGCAUUUUGCUCAGCUCAUGUACAGGUUCUGUAAAACACACACACACACACACACACACACACACAAAACUAUUAUAAAAGUAUAACAAUGUGCUUUCCAUUUGAGCAGCAAAGAGUAUUUUGAAGCGAAAUGCAGAAUACAAAUUCACAGCAUACAAAAAUACAGAAUACAAAAACACAAAGCCACUAUUCCGGUUCAUCUGAUGUAUUGUUCCAAAAAUCAAAUGAUUUAAAAAAAAAAAAAAAAAAAAAAGUUUCAUACACAUCUAAAAUAAUCCUCCAGGUGGAAGCUAAGGAGAGAAACAGAGUGUCGACUAGCUGUGACGCAGUACAGACCGUGACGUCAGCACAUCAGCCGCUGGCUUUAUUUUCCACCUUUAUUCCGGAUAACCCUCCUCCUCCUCCUCUUCCUCCUCCUCAUUAUUAUUGUAACAGGCUUCAACAUUAUUAACAAAAACAAAAAAAAAAAUCUUCAUUUCAAAUGAAACUCUCAGUUCAUCCUUUGUUCACAAGAGAUGAGAUUAAAGCUCGAGGUGAAAACGCCUGUGUGUUUUGACUGUCUGCCUGUGAACAGAUUAGGGCUGGGCGAUAUGGCUGAAAACUGUAUCACGAUAUCGGCGUUUCAUAUCGGUCGAUAUCGAUAAUUAUUGAUAUUUUUUAAUGACCCGUAUAAAAUAAGGACCAGGAGAAAAAAUAUAUUACAUUUCAACAUAUUUUGCUCUGAUCAUAAUCCCCAGCCCUAGAACAGAGUAUUAAAAAUGUAAAGUGAUUUAUUUAGUUUGCUUUGUAAAGUUUGGAGAACCUUCAAAGCCUUGAGCACAGGUUCAGUCAUGAUACAGCAUCCCUGGAGCUCAAGGGCCCAACAGUGGCAGCUUGGCAAUGCUGAGGCUUGAACCCUGAUCCUCUGUUCAACAACCCAGUGCCUUAACUGCUUGAGCCACCAAACCAAUGAACAAAUAUCCUUAGACAAGUUCUCCACCGUGGGGAUUUGUUUAGGAUACAGAUUAGCUACGAAUCUCAGUUUGGGGAGCAAGAUGUCUCGUGAGGCUUUCUUUGCUUAGGAGAACCCAGAGAAUAAAACAUCAUUUCAGUUGAUCAUUUUCAUUGAAGGAUUUGUGGUUUCUUAGACACGAGCCAAGACCUAAAACACUUGUCUAUAACGCCACCUCGAGGCCACCUUGACCCUGUUUCAUGUCUUAUGGUUGGUCAGGAUGAUCAGAUUUGAAGGAGAAGAGAACCGAGUGUUUGGCCCCCCCCCAAAAAUGACAAUCCGUCUGAAUGACACUAAAGCAGGGUUUUACUCCAUAAAAAGUUCCGAUCUGGCAACCUUUCACAUUCCCGUGUUGUCCUGCACUCACAGACGACAGUAAAGACAAAUUGUUUUCAAUCUAAUACUAUUCUUAAUUCUGAUUCUAAACCUACAUAACCCCCUCAAAGCAUUCUUACUUAAUAGUCUACAAAGUUAAGCUAAUCAAAAGGGAGCGUUAGGGGAGGGUUGUCAACAAACCCGGGGGGGUUGGGGUGUUUGACACGUUUUGGGAUCAACACCUGCAUGCUGCGCUUGAUGUCAGUCGCAGUCACGUAUAAAAACCACUGUGUGUUAUUUCAGAGGGAAGAUGAAAUCACUUGUGUUGUUCUCCUGACCUGUGUACGGUUAUACCGUGCCGUCAUGAGCUUAACACUGAUCUCUGGAGAUGAUGGAUGUUUACACGAUUGGACGCUGCUACACUAUGUACUUCCUUCUGAGUCAUGUCUGUUUGGUUUUGUGACUCAGUUGGAAGAAACAAACCUCGGUCUGAGUUCCCACUCCAUGACUUGAGAAGAGAUUUGAUGCUGAUCUCAAAGAAAACGGAAUCCUGCAGACUCAACAUGACGUAACCGCAGAGGUGUCGAGUAAAAACACAACUCGCACGAGUCCCCGUUCGUCUCCUGCG